AGUAUGACUUUGAACUAAUGUC
This 22-nucleotide small nuclear RNA is filed under the name Arabidopsis thaliana (thale cress). RNAcentral's name for it is "snRNA_14355". Lineage: Eukaryota; Viridiplantae; Streptophyta; Magnoliopsida; Brassicales; Brassicaceae. The record is from RNAcentral.